UACGAAGGGGGCUAGCGUUGCUCGGAAUCACUGGGCGUAAAGCGCACGUAGGCGGCUUUUUAAGUCAGGGGUGAAAUCCUGGAGCUCAACUCCAGAACUGCCUUUGAUACUGAGAAGCUGGAGUCCGGGAGAGGUGAGUGGAACUGCGAGUGUAGAGGUGAAAUUCGUAGAUAUUCGCAAGAACACCAGUGGCGAAGGCGGCUCACUGGCCCGGUACUGACGCUGAGGAGCGAAAGCGUGGGGAGCGAACAGG
RNAcentral lists this ribosomal RNA (253 nucleotides) under uncultured bacterium. Its description in RNAcentral is "partial 16S ribosomal RNA". It matches the Rfam family "Bacterial small subunit ribosomal RNA", at positions 524 to 776 of the family's 1533-position model. The record is from RNAcentral.